CCAGGUGUGGCCCAAUGGCAAGGCGCUUGACUACGAUUACGGCGUUAUCAAGAGAUUCCAGGUUCGACCCCUGGCACGUUCA
This 82-nucleotide transfer RNA is filed under the name Byssothecium circinans. RNAcentral describes it as "tRNA-Arg". The stretch from base 5 to 77 matches the Rfam family "tRNA", at positions 5 to 66 of the family's 71-position model. From Rfam's summary of the family: Transfer RNA (tRNA) molecules are approximately 80 nucleotides in length. Their secondary structure includes four short double-helical elements and three loops (D, anti-codon, and T loops). The record is from RNAcentral. Lineage: Eukaryota; Fungi; Ascomycota; Dothideomycetes; Pleosporales; Massarinaceae.